CACCACAACUACUUCUGCACCCACAACAACUACAGCUGCUCCAACCACAAUUACUGCUUCUCCCACCACAACUACUACUGCACCCACAACAGUUUAUCCAACCACAACUACAGCUGCUCCAACAACUACAGCUGCACCCACCACGACUACAGCUGCUCGAUCCACAACCACAAAUGCUCCAUCCAAAACUACAACUGCUCUAACCACAACCACUGCUGCUCCAACCACAACUUUUGCUGCUCAGACCACAACUACAGCUGCUCCAUUAUCUACUACAAAUCCUUUAACACUGCCCACUUUAGGGACUAGUCCUUUAAGCACAACAGAAGAGGCAAAGAUUUUACGUCGAUUGACUUUCAGGUCUCCUUUCGAUACCUUUAUUGAUGGUUUAGAAAAUGAAUCAUCAGAGACUUUCCGAUCCCGCUCUAGCAGAAUAACAAGACGUAUUGAACCACUCUACAAAAAAGCUUUUCUGUCAUUUUUGGGAUUGACAGUUGUAUCAUUCAGGAGAGGAUCAAUCAUCAACUCAAUGGACCUCGA
RNA transcript from Fundulus heteroclitus (mummichog), 540 nucleotides. RefSeq lists it as uncharacterized. The record is from RefSeq and is a predicted model, not a curated record. Lineage: Eukaryota; Metazoa; Chordata; Actinopteri; Cyprinodontiformes; Fundulidae. The transcript is spliced from 3 exons.